UACGAGGGGUGCAAGCGUUGCUCGGAAUUAUUGGGCGUAAAGGGUGCGUUGGCGGUUUUGUAAGUCUUGUGUGAAAUCUUCAGGCUCAACUUGAAGACUGCACGAGAAACUGCAGGGCUUGAGUGUGGGAGAGGUGAGUGGAAUUCCUGGUGUAGCGGUGAAAUGCGUAGAUAUCAGGAGGAACACCGGUGGCGAAGGCGGCCAUCUGGACCGCAACUGACGCUGAGGCGCGAAAGCGUGGGGAGCAAACAGG
Molecule: ribosomal RNA, 253 nt
Filed under: uncultured bacterium
Lineage: Bacteria
Description: partial 16S ribosomal RNA
Rfam family: Bacterial small subunit ribosomal RNA
Source: RNAcentral